AAUGGCAUCACGUGUUUCCCAAUUCCCAGGUUACAGUUUCGUACAUUUUAUUUUCUUUUAAGAACUAAUAUAGUUAUUUAUUAUGGAAUGAAGAGAUUAUUAGAAGGAUUCACAUAGUUUUUUUUUAUAUUUAAAUUGAAAAAUUCAGAGCAUCGUACGGAUUAGAAAAAUGUACAAUAUGUCAAUUAAUUGACAAAUCCUAUACCAUGUCUCUUUUUAUUUAAAAUCAUGUCCAAUGCACGUACCUAAUCGUUGAACCGCUUCAUCGACGAAAUUAAUAUGUUAGAGAGGUGAUACGUACAUUUAUUAUUUAAAUUUAAUUUUCAAGACAACCCCUUUCAACCUGACCGCUCUCAUAUUUAUUGAAAGUAUUGGCCAAUUUACCUCCACUAGUCACUGAGGGGCCGGGGGCUAGAGGUCCAGGAUUUAGUCCUACUAAACUGGGACACCUGGGUUAUCAAAAAAAAAAAAAAAAAAGUAUUGGCCAAUUGUCCAAUUUAUUAUUAUUAUUGAUGUCACUCUUUAAAAAUCUUUGACUCUGACCAGACAGCAAGUAGGAGAAAGUGUAUAUUAUUGACUAGUCAAAAGCAAAAUAUCAGUAGUGGGUACGGUCCAAAUCAGUUGGAGCCGUUGGAUGGAGUGCUUGCUAGCAGAUGUAAUCUCCACAGGCUUGCAAUCUAGUAUCAAGUCUAAUACGAAACUAUAUUAUUAUUACGAGUAAAUUAGGCUUGCUGUAUUGUAUUGUAUAAUAUAUCAUGCCCUUUGGGAAAAUUUUUGUUGGGAAUAUGUUAUCAUGGCUAAUGUUUGAUACUGAACUCAACAGGACUUUGUCGAAGAACUUGAACACUAGUGCUGGACAGUAUUGAGCAAAGAAAUUGAUAAAGUCGUGGAAGAAAGCAUUAGGAUAGGGAAUGAAUCAUAGUUAUUAAAUUCAGACUGAACCAAUCAUUCCAA
Molecule: small RNA, 954 nt
Filed under: Olea europaea subsp. europaea
Lineage: Eukaryota; Viridiplantae; Streptophyta; Magnoliopsida; Lamiales; Oleaceae
Source: RNAcentral